CUCUUCGGAGGGAAGUUCGUGGAACGAGCGGCGGACGGGUGAGUAACACGUAGGCAACCUGCCUGUAAGACUGGGAUAACUCGCGGAAACGCGAGCUAAUACCGGAUAACACUUUCUAUCACCUGAUGGAAAGUUGAAAGGCGGCUUUUGCUGUCACUUACAGAUGGGCCUGCGGCGCAUUAGCUAGUUGGUGAGGUAACGGCUCACCAAGGCGACGAUGCGUAGCCGACCUGAGAGGGUGAUCGGCCACACUGGGACUGAGACACGGCCCAGACUCCUACGGGAGGCAGCAGUAGGGAAUCUUCCGCAAUGGACGAAAGUCUGACGGAGCAACGCCGCGUGAGUGAUGAAGGUUUUCGGAUCGUAAAACUCUGUUGUCAGGGAAGAACAAGUCGGGUAGUAACUGACCCGGCCUUGACGGUACCUGACCAGAAAGCCACGGCUAACUACGUGCCAGCAGCCGCGGUAAUACGUAGGUGGCAAGCGUUGUCCGGAAUUAUUGGGCGUAAAGCGCUCGCAGGCGGUUCUUUAAGUCUGAUGUGAAAUCUUGCGGCUCAACCGCAAACGUGCAUUGGAAACUGGAGGACUUGAGUGCAGAAGAGGAGAGUGGAAUUCCACGUGUAGCGGUGAAAUGCGUAGAGAUGUGGAGGAACACCAGUGGCGAAGGCGACUCUCUGGUCUGUAACUGACGCUGAGGAGCGAAAGCGUGGGGAGCGAACAGGAUUAGAUACCCUGGUAGUCCACGCCGUAAACGAUGAGUGCUAGGUGUUAAGGGGGUUUCCGCCCCUUAGUGCUGAAGUUAACGCAUUAAGCACUCCGCCUGGGGGAGUACGGCCGCAAGGCUGAAACUCAAAAGAAU
RNAcentral lists this ribosomal RNA (859 nucleotides) under Oceanobacillus oncorhynchi. RNAcentral's name for it is "bacterial SSU rRNA". It matches the Rfam family "Bacterial small subunit ribosomal RNA", at positions 76 to 910 of the family's 1533-position model. The record is from RNAcentral. Lineage: Bacteria; Bacillati; Bacillota; Bacilli; Caryophanales; Bacillaceae.